Sinocyclocheilus anshuiensis is the source of this 166-nucleotide long non-coding RNA. RefSeq lists it as uncharacterized. The transcript is spliced from 3 exons. The record is from RefSeq and is a predicted model, not a curated record. NCBI's taxonomy places the organism in Eukaryota, Metazoa, Chordata, Actinopteri, Cypriniformes, Cyprinidae.
UUUAGCUCCAACUUACCUCAGCACACCUACCUGGAAGUUUCUAUUAUGCCUAGUAAGACCUUGAUUAGCUGGUUCAGGUGUGUUUAAUUGGGGUUGGAGCUGAACUCUGCAGGACAGUGGUCCUCCAGGUGCAGGAUUGGACACUCCUGCUCUAGGCUCUUGAGAU